CCUGAUCAGAGUGCAAUGGAUUCCAGAUCUUCCUCGGGAAGGUGCGUCCGUUCACGUCACCCGGCCGAGGGC
Molecule: small RNA, 72 nt
Filed under: Actinopolymorpha rutila
Lineage: Bacteria; Bacillati; Actinomycetota; Actinomycetes; Propionibacteriales; Actinopolymorphaceae
Description: sRNA Ms_AS-8
Rfam family: Actinobacteria sRNA Ms_AS-8
Source: RNAcentral